UAUAACCAUUUUCAUUGUUAAAGAACCGUUGCGAUAGAGUAUUUUAUAGUAACGAUUAUACGAACCAUUGCUAUAGAAUCAUCAAUGGAAACCUUAAUUGAAUAAAAAAAGAUAUUACAACGGUAUAACUAUUCCCACCAAAAAAAUUUGCUAAGUCUGCCAACAAAAACCCUUUAUUCUCCGAUCCACCCUUUCAUCACUUUUCAUCUGGCAUACUCCAAUCCGCCAAAAAAAUUUCACUUAGUCCGAUCCGCCACUACUCCAACCACCAUACGUCGAUCAUAAUACCAUUUCUUCGACCAUUAUAUCAUUGCUCCGACCACCAUUCUCCUCCAAUUGUACCACUACUUUGACUACCGUACCUUGAUUUCAAUCCUGAUAUGGCCACCACUGUGAGUAGGAAUAUGUAUUUGAAUCGCAAGUUGGGUGGAGUUGGGGUUGGAGAUACGGCCACCAUUGUGAGUAGGAGUAUUUCUAGGUAAUUCAGUUUCUGCUCUUUCAUUACCAGAAUUAUGGUUUCCAGUGGCACACGUUUUUGUGCAUCACUAGUAGAAGAUAAUUAAAAUAUUUUUCCUUUCCAAUUCCUAUAAAGAUUACAAUGCCUUUUAGUUUCUUCAACUAAAUUCUCCAGAUAAGAAUUGGAAAUUAAAGAAUUAAAGAGAGAACGUCAGUAGAAAUUCAAUUGCAAGCUACAUAAUUCCAGAGAAAAGACUAUUUCAUAGCAAUACGCCAUAGCAAAGACAAUUGUACAACAUUAACAACAGGUGCAAGAUGGGAAACUCUUGUAGUAAUACUUUGUUUCGGGUUCAAGACCUACAGGGGCAGUCUAUAUAACCCACUUGCUGUUUUGGGGUGUUCUUCAAUUUGGGGAUGUCUUCAAUUUGGGGAUGUUAAGGCUUGUGGUUGUGAAGUCUAAGGUUGACUUGAUUACUUCUUCUGGCAUGAACCAAGUCUCCCAAUCCUUCCCUUCAAAGUUGUUCAAGAAGGGAAAAUUUUGAUUUAGUAAAGAAGAACUUCUUUUGGUUUGAUGCUGGUCAAGUUGCUUGAGUUAAGAGAGGCAAACCACCUAGAGUUCUGCAAAAUAAAGAGCAUGGACGAAGAGAUCUGCAGAUGUAUCAAAAUUCAGAGCUUCAUGCUAUUUUAGAGUUACUGAUGGAUCCUACUUGGUUGGUAACUCGGUUAAAACUUGAUUUUGACACACUAGUAAGUGAUGUUGAGUUGUUUAUUCCAUUUCCAAUUAUGAAGACUUCCUGUAUAGUUAAUUAUUGAAUGGUGUAUAAAGAGUGAUAAUCUCAUUCAAAUUUUUCUUUUACAUUUUCCUUUUUUAUAAAUGCUUUUGCAUUUAUGGGCUAAGAGUUCAAAGGUGAAAACAUGGAGCUACUCUUUAACUGUCUAGCGAGAAUGUUUCUUAUCAAUUGAAUGACUCCGCAGGUAAGUUUUCCACUUUAGCCUGCAUCUUCCACUACUUCUCAAUAAGCCUAAUAAAGCUGACAAUGCCCCCACCCAAUCAUUCCAAAGGGGAAAAAACCUCCACUCUAAUAAAGCAAAAAUAGAACAACAACAUAAACAGUGCAAUCUCACAAGUGGGGUAUGAGGAGAAUGGCUUGUAUGCAGCCUCAUCCCUACCUUGCAAAGGUAGAGAGGCUGUUUCCAAUAGACCAUGAACAAUAAAGCAAAAGUAGAAAAAAAGGGAGAAGCUUGGAUAACUGUAUUAACUCACUCGUCGGAGUUUGGAUAUUCGAUGUGUAAUAAGAAGUGCAUGCAGAUCCAUGCUAGAUCAGGAUAAAGUCUACCAGUGGCUAGCAGUCCAUUGAAAUUGUCAUGAAAACUUGAGUCAGAAAACCAAAAUUUGUUGUUGUUUAGACUUGUAUAUAGUGAACUCAAUUUGUUUCUUUUACUAUGACAGUGUUAUUUAUCCUUAUUAUUUUCCACAUUUUUCAUUCCAGGGAAAUCAUGGCAAAUUAUGCAGAUAUAGUAUUUGCAAACAGUGAAGAAGCAAAACCAUUCUGUCAUUUUUCAUCAAAAGAAAGUCCCCUUUCUGCUACAAGGUGUCCAAAAUGAAGGAGAUGAAGAAAGAAGUGAUGAAGAAAUUGACCUUACAUAAAGGAGAUGAUUGUCAAAAAUAAAGGAGAUGAAGAAAGAAGUGAUUUUAAUUAAUAUCAAUCUUUUUGAUUUUGAAUUUUGUGAAACUUAUCGCCACUCGAAUUUGAUUCUAUGUGUGAAAACUAAUGAUAAUUUGACUUUAAUAUUUUGCUUUUGUGUUUA
Molecule: long non-coding RNA, 2265 nt
Organism: Capsicum annuum
Lineage: Eukaryota; Viridiplantae; Streptophyta; Magnoliopsida; Solanales; Solanaceae
Exons: 4
Source: RefSeq, a predicted model, not a curated record